This 253-nucleotide ribosomal RNA is filed under the name uncultured bacterium. RNAcentral's name for it is "partial 16S ribosomal RNA". It matches the Rfam family "Bacterial small subunit ribosomal RNA", at positions 524 to 776 of the family's 1533-position model. The record is from RNAcentral.
UACGAAGGGUGCAAGCGUUACUCGGAAUUACUGGGCGUAAAGGGUGCGUAGGUGGUCGUUUAAGUCCGUUGUGAAAUCCCUGGGCUCAACCUGGGAAUGGCAGUGGAUACUGGACGGCUAGAAUGCGGUAGAGGGUAGUGGAAUUCCCGGUGUAGCAGUGAAAUGCGUAGAGAUCGGGAGGAACACCAGUGGCGAAGGCGGCUCACUGGACCACAACUGACGCUGAGGCGCGAAAGCUAGGGGAGCAAACAGG